AAACUUACUUGGCUGGGAGGUGACUCGCGAUCAUGAAGGCGAGUACUCCACGGUGAGGUCGGCCCAUUGCACUUGCGGGUAACGAUUGACCCGUGUGGCAGUCUCGAGUUGGGACUCGCCAACAGCAUAAUUUUUGCGUUUGGGGACAGACAAUCGUGCCGUUCCCCG
This is a non-coding RNA of Onchocerca flexuosa, 168 nucleotides long. The record is from Rfam. Lineage: Eukaryota; Metazoa; Nematoda; Chromadorea; Rhabditida; Onchocercidae.